CUUGACUAAGUAUAAGAGGUCCAGCCUGCCCAGUGAUAAAAUUCAACGGCCGCGGUACCCUAACCGUGCGAAGGUAGCAUAAUCACUUGUUCUCUAAAUAGGGACUAGUAUCAACGGCACCACGAGGGCUGUACUGUCUCCUUUCUCCAAUCAGUGAAACUGAUCUCCCCGUGAAGAAGCGGGGAUUAUUAUAUAAGACGAGAAGACCCCAUGGAGCUUUAAACUCAUCAUUCACUUCCUCACUCCUAUGCCCAACUUAUAUGAGGAAUCUGUAUGAUAGUUUUGGGUUGGGGGGACCACGGAGUACAAUUUAACCUCCAUGACAAAUGGGCCAACGCCCUUAUCUAUGAACUACAACUCUAAGAAUCAUAAGCUGAUGUUCAAUGACCCGAUAUUCGAUCAACGAACCA
RNAcentral lists this ribosomal RNA (410 nucleotides) under Babina adenopleura (olive frog). RNAcentral's name for it is "partial 16S ribosomal RNA". It matches the Rfam family "Bacterial large subunit ribosomal RNA", at positions 1834 to 2441 of the family's 2925-position model. The record is from RNAcentral. Lineage: Eukaryota; Metazoa; Chordata; Amphibia; Anura; Ranidae.